RNAcentral lists this ribosomal RNA (116 nucleotides) under Viridibacillus arvi. Lineage: Bacteria; Bacillati; Bacillota; Bacilli; Caryophanales; Caryophanaceae. The record is from RNAcentral. RNAcentral also lists the same sequence under 1 other name.
UCUAGUGAUGAUGGCAAAGAGGUCACACCCGUUCCCAUGCCGAACACGGAAGUUAAGCUCUUUAGCGCCAAUGGUAGUUGGGGGUUUCCCCCUGUGAGAGUAGGACGUUGCUAGGC